AUUGAACGCUGGCGGCAUGCCUUACACAUGCAAGUCGAACGGUAACGGGCCUUCGGGUGCCGACGAGUGGCGAACGGGUGAGUAAUACAUCGGAACGUGCCCGAUCGUGGGGGAUAACGAGGCGAAAGCUUUGCUAAUACCGCAUACGAUCUACGGAUGAAAGCAGGGGACCGCAAGGCCUUGCGCGGACGGAGCGGCCGAUGGCAGAUUAGGUAGUUGGUGGGAUAAAGGCUUACCAAGCCGACGAUCUGUAGCUGGUCUGAGAGGAUGAUCAGCCACACUGGGACUGAGACACGGCCCAGACUCCUACGGGAGGCAGCGGUGGGGAAUUUUGGACAAUGGGCGCAAGCCUGAUCCAGCCAUGCCGCGUGCAGGAUGAAGGCCUUCGGGUUGUAAACUGCUUUUGUACGGAACGAAAAGCCUUCUUUUAAUACAGGAGGGUCAUGACGGUACCGUAAGAAUAAGCACCGGCUAACUACGUG
This 482-nucleotide ribosomal RNA is filed under the name uncultured bacterium. RNAcentral's name for it is "partial 16S ribosomal RNA". It matches the Rfam family "Bacterial small subunit ribosomal RNA", at positions 30 to 507 of the family's 1533-position model. The record is from RNAcentral.